RNAcentral lists this ribosomal RNA (459 nucleotides) under uncultured bacterium. Its description in RNAcentral is "partial 16S ribosomal RNA". It matches the Rfam family "Bacterial small subunit ribosomal RNA", at positions 338 to 795 of the family's 1533-position model. The record is from RNAcentral.
CCUACGGGUGGCAGCAGUGAGGAAUAUUGGUCAAUGGUCGGGAGACUGAACCAGCCAAGCCGCGUGAGGGAUGAAGGUACAGAGUAUCGUAAACCUCUUUUGUCAGGGAACAAAGGCGGGGACGUGUCCCCGGAUGAGUGUACCUGAAGAAAAAGCAUCGGCUAACUCCGUGCCAGCAGCCGCGGAAAUACGGAGGAUGCGAGCGUUAUCCGGAUUUAUGGGGUUAAAAGGGUGCGCAGGCGGUUUGUAAAGCAGGGGGUCAAAGCCCGGGGGUAAACCCCGCCCCGCCGUUGAAACUGGCAGUCUCGAGUUGGAGAGAAGUAUGCGGAAUGCGCGGUGUAGCGGUGAAAUGCAUAGAUAUCGCGCAGAACUCCGAUUGCGAAGGCAGCAUGCCGGCUCCACACUGACGCUGAGGCACGAAAGCGUGGGUAUCGAACAGGAUUAGAUACCCGAGUAGUC